RNAcentral lists this ribosomal RNA (459 nucleotides) under uncultured bacterium. Its description in RNAcentral is "partial 16S ribosomal RNA". It matches the Rfam family "Bacterial small subunit ribosomal RNA", at positions 28 to 507 of the family's 1533-position model. The record is from RNAcentral.
GAUGAACGCUGGCGGCGCGCCUAACACAUGCAAGUCGAACGGCACCCCUCCUCGGAGGGAAGCGAGUGGCGAACGGCUGAGUAACACGUGGAGAACCUGCCCCCUCCCCCGGGAUAGCCGCCCGAAAGGACGGGUAAUACCGGAUACCCCGGGGUGCCGCAUGGCACCCCGGCUAAAGCCCCGACGGGAGGGGAUGGCUCCGCGGCCCAUCAGGUAGACGGCGGGGUGACGGCCCACCGUGCCGACAACGGGUAGCCGGGGUGGGAGACCGACCGGCCAGAUUGGGACUGAGGCACGGCCCAGGCUCCUGCGGGAGGCAGCAGUGGGGGAUCUUGCGCAAUGGGGGGAACCCUGACGCAGCGACGGCGCGUGCGGGACGGAGGCCUUCGGGGCGUAAACCGCUUUCAGCAGGGAAGGGUCAUGACUGUACCUGCAGAAGAAGCCCCGGCUAACUACGUG